This 253-nucleotide ribosomal RNA is filed under the name uncultured bacterium. RNAcentral describes it as "partial 16S ribosomal RNA". It matches the Rfam family "Bacterial small subunit ribosomal RNA", at positions 524 to 776 of the family's 1533-position model. The record is from RNAcentral.
UACAGAGGUGGCAAGCGUUGUUCGGAAUUACUGGGCGUAAAGGGCGCGUAGGCGGCCAUCUAAGUCAGACGUGAAAUCCCCCGGCUUAACCUGGGAACUGCGUCUGAUACUGGAAGGCUUGAGUAUGGGAGAGGGAUGUAGAAUUCCAGGUGUAGCGGUGGAAUGCGCAGAUACCAGGAGGAACACCAAUAGCGAAGGCAGCUCGCUGGGACGGUACUGACGCUGAGGCGCGAAAGCGUGGGGAGCGAACAGG